Molecule: ribosomal RNA, 385 nt
Filed under: uncultured bacterium
Lineage: Bacteria
Description: bacterial SSU rRNA
Rfam family: Bacterial small subunit ribosomal RNA
Source: RNAcentral
AUUGAACGCUGGCGGCAUGCUUUACACAUGCAAGUCGAACGGUAACAGGCCUUCGGGUGCUGACGAGUGGCGAACGGGUGAGUAAUGCAUCGGAACGUGCCCAAUCGUGGGGGAUAACGUAGCGAAAGUUACGCUAAUACCGCAUAAGCCCUGAGGGGGAAAGCAGGGGAUCGCAAGACCUUGCGCGAAUGGAGCGGCCGAUGUCAGAUUAGCUAGUUGGUGGGGUAAAGGCCUACCAAGGCGACGAUCUGUAGCGGGUCUGAGAGGAUGAUCCGCCACACUGGGACUGAGACACGGCCCAGACUCCUACGGGAGGCAGCAGUGGGGAAUUUUGGACAAUGGGGGCAACCCUGAUCCAGCCAUGCCGCGUGAGUGAAGAAGGCCU